This 1538-nucleotide ribosomal RNA is filed under the name Ranitomeya sirensis (Sira poison frog). RNAcentral describes it as "16S ribosomal RNA". It matches the Rfam family "Bacterial large subunit ribosomal RNA", at positions 370 to 2727 of the family's 2925-position model. The record is from RNAcentral. Lineage: Eukaryota; Metazoa; Chordata; Amphibia; Anura; Dendrobatidae.
GCCAAAUAUCUAGCCCAACCCCUCUUAAUAAAAAUACUCUAACUCUUUACCUAAGUAAAACAUUUUUUUAGUAUAGUAGAGGUGAUUAAAAAACUUCUCGGAGCAAUAAUUUCUGUACCGCAAGGGAAAGAUGAAAUAAAAAUGAAAAACCUUAUAAGCCCUAAUUAGCAGAGCUUAACUCUCGUACCUUUUGCAUCAUGGUUUAACUAGUCUAAUCAAGCAAAAAGAUUUUCAGUUUGAACCCCCGAAACUAGGCGAGCUAAUUUAGGGCAGUUUUAUGAACGAACCCAUCUCUGUUGCAAAAGAGUGGGAAGACCCUAAAAUAGCGGUGAUAGACCUAACGAGCUUAGUGAUAGCUGGUUGCCCCAGAAAAGGAUUUUAGUCCUGCUUAAACCUUUUUGAUAAACCCAAAAAUCAGUUUAAAGUCAAUCAGACAAGGUACAGCCUGUUUGAUCAAGGAUACAACCUUAAUUACUGGGUCUUAAUUUUUUAUUAUGGUAAAGUAGGCUUAAAAGCAGCCACCUUAAACUAAAGCGUCAAAGCUUCCCCAUUAAUUUAACUAAUUCCUAUAUUCCCAUUUAUCCCUUAUUUUUCCCAUGGGGCAUCUCUAUACCCUUAUAGAAAAUUUAAUGUUAAAACUAGUAAUAAGAAGCAGAUUCUUCUCCUUAAACGCAAGUUUAUGCCAGUCAGGACACCCCACUGGCAAUUAACGCCCCUGAUAUUCCAGUUGAAACAAAACAAGAAAAAUCCACUAUCAUUUAAGCGUCUACCUAACACCAGAGCGUUACAAGAAAGAUUAAAAGAAAAAGAAGGAAUUCGGCAAAUACCUAGUCCCGCCUGUUUACCAAAAACAUCGCCUUUUGUUUAACAAAUAAGAGGUCCAGCCUGCCCAGUGACUCUGUUCAACGGCCGCGGUAUCCUAACCGUGCGAAGGUAGCGUAAUCACUUGUUCUUUAAUUGAGGACUAGUAUGAAUGGCCCCACGAGGACUAAACUGUCUCCUUUUUCUAAUCAAUGAAACUGAUCUCCUCGUGAAGAAGCGAGGAUAAACAUAUAAGACGAGAAGACCCUAUGGAGCUUUAAACAAUAGAGAUACUUGCUAAACCUAAACUGUCUUUCUGAAAACUAAACAAAUUAAAGCAUUUUACUUUCUAGUUUUAGGUUGGGGUGACCACGGAGAAAAGAAAAACCUCCACGUUGUAAGAAGCCUUCCAUCUUCUAAACCAAAAGCUACAGCUUAAAGCAUCAACACAUUGACUCUCAUUGACCCAAUAAUUUGAUCAACGGACCAAGUUACCCUAGGGAUAACAGCGCAAUCUACUUUGAGAGCUCAUAUCGACAAGUAGGUUUACGACCUCGAUGUUGGAUCAGGGUAUCCUAGUGGUGCAGCCGCUACUAAUGGUUCGUUUGUUCAACGAUUAAAACCCUACGUGAUCUGAGUUCAGACCGGAGUAAUCCAGGUCAGUUUCUAUCUAUAAAGAGGUUUUUCUAGUACGAAAGGACCAAAAAACCACAGCCAAUGUUUAACCAAGCCGUAAA